GUUUAUGACCAGACCACCCAGAAUGCACCGAUCUCGUCGGAUCUCAGAAGCUAUGUAGGAUUCAGCCUGGAUAGUUCAUGGAUGGGCGAUCAACAUGCAUUCACAUUCUUAGGCU
This 115-nucleotide ribosomal RNA is filed under the name Petromyzon marinus (sea lamprey). Lineage: Eukaryota; Metazoa; Chordata; Hyperoartia; Petromyzontiformes; Petromyzontidae. The record is from RNAcentral.